AUUGGGAUUUCACCCUGCCUCGCUCUCUGGCACAGCCUGUCCACCAGGCCUGCGGAUGUCCGAUCCUGGGUCAUCUGCCUUACCCGCUUGUUCCCUGGCUUCGAACGGAACGGAUGACUUUGCCUCAGGCAUGCUAACCUUCUCCUCCAGAAGCCCACAAUUCGUAUGGGGUGAGAAUUCAUAUGGAAUGACAGAGUUUUCUUGAGUAAUUGAGCAGAGCUUCCUCUGACUUUCCUACAGGAAACAGAGGAAAGGGAACCUCUGCCACUCCAGUGCAGCCUGACAUUCCUGAGAUGACUCAAGACACAACUAAACAAAUGGUGGUUGGAGAAAAAGAUGUAUAUGUGGGAUUGAAAGAAGAUAGGCAAGAACGAGAACGAGAACAGUCUUACAUGCCAAUCACGGGACGUGGACUUCCUCCUGACACAGUGGGACGAAAACAGUAUAGAGUGUGUUAGUACUCACUCACUUACUUAGUUCAGCCUAAUUCAGGUUCAUACAAAUUCCCCCUUUCCCUGUCUUUAGUGG
Molecule: long non-coding RNA, 528 nt
Filed under: Equus asinus (donkey)
Lineage: Eukaryota; Metazoa; Chordata; Mammalia; Perissodactyla; Equidae
Description: lncRNA (ENSEASG00005026554.1)
Source: RNAcentral